UGAAACGUGCACACAACGCGCACGUCCCAUCCAUGUACGUGGUGUGAGGUCAAACCCUGCGCACAUCGUGUAACACGCAAGUGGGCUGUCCGCACGUCACCUUGCAUGAGGACAGACGCUGCACAUGGUGCGCACGCUUUCUAUGCAGUAGGCUUGUGCGGAAAGGCCCCUGUGCGUGUGCACACUAGCCCCUGGGCACGCACAGGCUAGCCCCAGUGCAUGCAGCAGGAGACCUGUGUGCUUGCAGGAGAGCAUGCAGCGUGCCGGGUGGGCCACUACCACCUCGGAGUGCGCUGCCGUCGCCUUAGGCAACACGCCGCCGUUGCCUAUGGAAGAAACCUUCCUUUCUCAAUUUUUGUUCUAAGCAUCUUUUUCCUCUCUCUCUUCGCCAGAUUUUGUCACUUGGCAUGAAUCCAACGAUUUCUAAUUUCUAUAAAUAGGU
RNAcentral lists this long non-coding RNA (442 nucleotides) under Carica papaya (papaya). RNAcentral's name for it is "long non-coding RNA (CPAP_LNC000331)". The record is from RNAcentral. Lineage: Eukaryota; Viridiplantae; Streptophyta; Magnoliopsida; Brassicales; Caricaceae.